CCUACGGGAGGCAGCAGUGAGGAAUAUUGGUCAAUGGACGAGAGUCUGAACCAGCCAAGUAGCGUGAAGGAUGACUGCCCUAUGGGUUGUAAACUUCUUUUAUAAAGGCAUAAAACGAUGCCCGUGUGACUUUUUGCAUGUCCUUUAUGAAUAAGGAUCUGCUAACUCCGUGCCAGCAGCCGCGGUCAUACGUAGGAUCCGAGCGUUAUCCGGAUUUAUUGGGUUUAAAGGGAGCGUAGAUGGGUUGUUAAGUCAGUUGUGAAAGUUUGCGGCUCAACCGUAAAAGUGCAAUUGAUACUGGCAGUCUUGAGUACAGUUGAGGUAAGCGGAAUUCGUGGUGUAGCGGUGAAAUGCUUAGAUAUCACGAAGAACCCCGAUUGCGAAGGCAGCUUACUAAACUGUGACUGACAUUGAUGCUCGAAAGUGUGGGUAUCAAACAGGAUUAGAUACCCGAGUAGUC
Molecule: ribosomal RNA, 460 nt
Filed under: uncultured bacterium
Lineage: Bacteria
Description: partial 16S ribosomal RNA
Rfam family: Bacterial small subunit ribosomal RNA
Source: RNAcentral